AGAAGAGGCAUGAUGGGAAGAAGAAGCCUGUCCUUUGUUGGGAGGAGUCAUUUUAACAUGGAGGCUGCUAUUCCAUGUGGCAGCCAUUUUAAGGACAGCAGAGUACUGUGGUCCCUGAAGAUCUGUGAACAUGAGGCCUUGUAUGGUGGAACUACCUUGACUAGACAGCAAUGAAGAGAAGUACGGCUGGGGACACCUUCCUGCUAUGACAGAAGGAAAGAGUUUUGAAGUUUAAGGGACUUUAUACUCUCUCAGAUCUUCAAGUGUGCAAGAGUAUCUUCAGAGGGGCCGGGGAUUUAGCUCAGUGGUUCGGUGGCCUGCCUCACAAGCACAAGGACCCAAGUUCGAUCCCCGGUACCAAAAAAAAACAAAAAAGAACAACAAAAAAAGAGUAUCUUUAUAGGCACAAUGUUGCAUAAAAGAGCUGUAUGAGAUGCUAAUCUUGCACAACUGAUACCCAGUACCCCUUCCCCUGUGCCCUUGCAUUGUACUUUCUGAUACUAAGGUUUUGGUUAUUUUAGACACCUCACAUAAAAGGAACCGCGAAGUGUUUCUUCUUCUGUAACUCGCUCAUUUCAUGCAUCAUGACCAGCCAUCACCGAUGCUCUUGCAUACUGCAGGUCUUUGCUCUGUUGUAAGGCCGAAUUCUGCUGGAGCUUCGGGUGGGGAAGGUGAGGGGAGAUUAGGAUCGUUUAGAAAAGGAAAAGAGGAAACCUGAUGAUGGUGUGG
Molecule: long non-coding RNA, 729 nt
Filed under: Fukomys damarensis (Damara mole-rat)
Lineage: Eukaryota; Metazoa; Chordata; Mammalia; Rodentia; Bathyergidae
Description: lncRNA (ENSFDAG00000023814.1)
Source: RNAcentral